GUCUUACACUUGAUCUCUGAACUUCAGGUAAGUUCAUGUGUAGACAAUUUUAAGUUACUGAUGCU
This is a small nucleolar RNA of Telopea speciosissima, 65 nucleotides long. RefSeq annotates it as small nucleolar RNA snoR101. The transcript has a single exon. Lineage: Eukaryota; Viridiplantae; Streptophyta; Magnoliopsida; Proteales; Proteaceae. The record is from RefSeq and is a predicted model, not a curated record.